This 253-nucleotide unclassified non-coding RNA is filed under the name uncultured Pirellulaceae bacterium. RNAcentral describes it as "contains 16S-23S intergenic spacer region". It matches the Rfam family "Bacterial small subunit ribosomal RNA", at positions 524 to 776 of the family's 1533-position model. Lineage: Bacteria; Pseudomonadati; Planctomycetota; Planctomycetia; Pirellulales; Pirellulaceae. The record is from RNAcentral.
GACGAACCGUGCGAACGUUAUUCGGAAUCACUGGGCUUAAAGAGUCCGUAGGCGGCCAUGUAGGUGGGGUGUGAGAUCCCACGGCUCAACCGUGGAAUAGCGCUCCAAACCACGUGGCUCGAGGGAGAUAGAGGAGAGCGGAACUGAUGGUGGAGCGGUGAAAUGCGUUGAUAUCAUCAGGAACACCGGUGGCGAAAGCGGCUCUCUGGGUCUCUUCUGACGCUGAGGGACGAAAGCUAGGGGAGCGAACGGG